RNAcentral lists this ribosomal RNA (309 nucleotides) under uncultured bacterium. RNAcentral describes it as "partial 16S ribosomal RNA". It matches the Rfam family "Bacterial small subunit ribosomal RNA", at positions 504 to 807 of the family's 1533-position model. The record is from RNAcentral.
AGAGACAGCAGUAGCCACGGUAAUACGGAGGGGGCUAGCGUUGUUCGGAAUUACUGGGCGUAAGGCGCACGUAGGCGGCUUGGUAAGUUAGAGGUGAAAGCCCGGAGCUCAACUCCGGAAUUGCCUUUAAGACUGCCGAGCUAGUAGGUGAGAGAGGUAAGUGGAAUUCCGAGCGUAGAGGUGAAAUUCGUAGAUAUUCGGAAGAACACCAGUGGCGAAGGCGGCUUACUGGCUCAUUCUAGACGCUGAGGUGCGAAAGCGUGGGGAGCAAACAGGAUUAGAUACCCCCGUAGUCCCUGUCUCUUAUAC